UAGGGAAUCUUCCACAAUGGGCGCAAGCCUGAUGGAGCAACACCGCGUGAGUGAAGAAGGGUUUCGGCUCGUAAAGCUCUGUUGUUAAAGAAGAACACGUAUGAGAGUAACUGUUCAUACGUUGACGGUAUUUAACCAGAAAGUCACGGCUAACUACGUGCCAGCAGCCGCGGUAAUACGUAGGUGGCAAGCGUUAUCCGGAUUUAUUGGGCGUAAAGAGAGUGCAGGCGGUUUUCUAAGUCUGAUGUGAAAGCCUUCGGCUUAACCGGAGAAGUGCAUCGGAAACUGGAUAACUUGAGUGCAGAAGAGGGUAGUGGAACUCCAUGUGUAGCGGUGGAAUGCGUAGAUAUAUGGAAGAACACCAGUGGCGAAGGCGGCUACCUGGUCUGCAACUGACGCUGAGACUCGAAAGCAUGGGUAGCGAACAGGAUUAGAUACCCUGGUAGUCCAUGCCGUAAACGAUGAGUGCUAGGUGUUGGAGGGUUUCCGCCCUUCAGUGCCGGAGCUAACGCAUUAAGCACUCCGCCUGGGGAGUACGACCGCAAGGUU
RNAcentral lists this ribosomal RNA (549 nucleotides) under uncultured bacterium. Its description in RNAcentral is "bacterial SSU rRNA". It matches the Rfam family "Bacterial small subunit ribosomal RNA", at positions 355 to 895 of the family's 1533-position model. The record is from RNAcentral.